This 373-nucleotide ribosomal RNA is filed under the name uncultured bacterium. RNAcentral describes it as "bacterial SSU rRNA". It matches the Rfam family "Bacterial small subunit ribosomal RNA", at positions 28 to 401 of the family's 1533-position model. The record is from RNAcentral.
GAUGAACGCUAGCGGCAGGCCUAAUACAUGCAAGUCGAACGGUAAGGCCCUUUCGGGGGUACACGAGUGGCGGACGGGUGCGUAACGCGUAUGCAACAUGCCUUCCAGCGGGGGAUAUACCAGGGAAACUUGGCGCAAUACCCCAUAGAAUUACGGGACCGCAUGGUCUUGUGAUUAAAACUCCGGUGCUGGGAGAUUGGCAUGCGUGACAUUAGCUAGUUGGCGGGGUAACGGCCCACCAAGGCGACGAUGUCUAGCUGGUCUGAGAGGAUGAUCAGCCACACUGGGACUGAGACACGGCCCAGACUCCUACGGGAGGCAGCAGUAGGGAAUAUUGGACAAUGGGGGGAACCCGUGAUCCAGCCACGUCGCC